This 45-nucleotide non-coding RNA is filed under the name Trichobilharzia regenti. Lineage: Eukaryota; Metazoa; Platyhelminthes; Trematoda; Strigeidida; Schistosomatidae. The record is from RNAcentral.
AUCCGGUUAACGAGUCCCAAAUAGAACGAAAUGCGCAUCCUGAAU